CAGUGAGACCACCUCAGCCACCUCUGGGUCUACCAAAAGAGGAAUGACACCUGCCCGAGGAUCCCAUGGAAUCCCUGCCAUCUCACAUAAUCCAGAGCAAUAUAUCAAAGAAGCUUGGGGAGGACAGGAUUGUCACAUUCUUCUGUCCAAAAUUGGACGAUACAAAUUGUGGUAUUGGGACAUCAAUCGCACAGGGCCCAACAAGGAACUUGAAAGCGAGGUCAUCAAUGCAUACCUACAUAAACUAGUCGAGUGCUACAACAGCCGAGGAGGGAAACAAGCUG
This is a long non-coding RNA of Nerophis lumbriciformis (worm pipefish), 284 nucleotides long. RefSeq lists it as uncharacterized. The record is from RefSeq and is a predicted model, not a curated record. Lineage: Eukaryota; Metazoa; Chordata; Actinopteri; Syngnathiformes; Syngnathidae.